This 274-nucleotide unclassified non-coding RNA is filed under the name uncultured fungus. RNAcentral describes it as "sequence contains ITS1". The stretch from base 1 to 104 matches the Rfam family "5.8S ribosomal RNA", at positions 50 to 154 of the family's 154-position model. The record is from RNAcentral. Lineage: Eukaryota; Fungi.
GAAAUGCGAUACGUGAUGUGAAUUGCAGAUUUUGUGAAUCAUCGAAACUUUGAACGCACAUUGCGCCUGUUGGUAUGCCUUCAGGCACGUCUGUUUGAGCGUUGUUAAAAAUCUCGGGUGAACCGGUGAUGGUGGAAGCAUGCUCCGCCGAAAUAACUCAGCAAGAGGCUAACGCGGCGAAACGCGGGGUGGCUCACACGCUGUUCGGCAAUCUUUUUGCCACAACUCUCUUCUUCUCAACCUCAAAUCAGACGGGGAUACCCGCUGGACUUAA